Molecule: long non-coding RNA, 600 nt
Filed under: Pan troglodytes (chimpanzee)
Lineage: Eukaryota; Metazoa; Chordata; Mammalia; Primates; Hominidae
Description: lncRNA (ENSPTRG00000053133.1)
Source: RNAcentral
GCUUUUUUCAUUUCAUUUAUUAGCAAAAAGAGAGAGAGGAGCUUCAUUUAUUUUCAUCAGCGCCUCAGUAAAAGCAUAGCAAUUUGCAACACAAAAAUCAUUUCAAGUACCUCAGCCUUGUGCAAAUCUUUUUUUGUUGUUGUUGUUGCUUUAAAAGCCUUUUAAAGUUCACCACCUCCCCCGCCCAACCCCAUUCUGAAAGGACGUGCGUGUGUGUGGAGAGUGGCUGUGAAAGUGGCACGGGCUCUGGGAAGAGAAGUAAGGAGGACUGCUGGGAAGGAAACCAGGUUCUCGGAUGAGCAGGGGCUGUGAUAUGAAAGUGAUCAAGAGCAGAAGAAUUCAGCCUGGCUGCGCCCGAAGAUGGUUCUGUCCAUGGCCUUGUACGAGGAAGGAGGGACUGAUGGUUCACGCUGAGCUCUUGGAUGAGAAAUGGUUUCUUUCUGGCAUUUAAGAAAGAAGUUCUCUUUUUAAAACCCACAAAUAUUUGUUAGUUAUUUUUCUCCUUGAGAAAUGUUUUCCUGAAAUCUGCGACGCUGAGGCUCGUCGUGGACAUUUCGGCUUCUGUGGCCUAUGAAAGUUGACUGUGAACGAGGGCUGCUC